CGUUAAUCAGUUAAGCUAAGGUUAGCAUACUAUUUUUUUUUUUUUUUACUCAGCAGCAGAUAUGAGUAUCCAGAGAUACUUCAAAAAAAUGAGGAAGGAGAACGAGGAAGGGACAACACCACCACAGAUUCCAAGCAUCGCAGCUCUGGGAGGAACCCUGACUGGCUAAAAAUUCCUCAUUUUAAGAACUGGCUCUACCUCACCCAGCAUGGAAUGUUUUGCAGAAUCUGCAGGAAACACAAGCCUCCAAUAAAGAAAGGCCCUUUAAAACGCACUUUUACAGAGAUCGGGGCUCUUGUAUUUUGUAAAGAUUAUGUGGAACGUCACAUCGCGUCAGAUCCUCAUCAGUAUAGUGUUCAGAAAGAGGCUGCACUUGCGUCAGGUAUAUCAUUUUAAUAAUAUAAAUGUACUUAUUUGAAUAAUUUCUGCGACCUGUUAACCAUGUUUUGGCCAAUAUAAAGCAUUAUUUCUUUGCUCUUGGCCUAGGCUACUCAGUAAUGCAGGCUUUUGAGCCCACCAUUGUUAUUGAGCAUGAGGCCAUCAUAGGGGCGUUCAAAUGUCUUUACUGGCUAAUAAAGAAUGAGAUUGCUCACCACACCAACUACGCUAAGCUGUUAAGUCUAGCUUAGCUUUUGGGUUGCGAUUACUUUGAAAAACUGAAGGUAAACUUAUUACAAAAUAAUAAGCUGAGUAACUUUAGCCACAUAAAAAUUAUAUUGACCUCCUUUUUUAGGUGGAUCAAAGAAACAAUUACCAAUCACACAGAAUAGUGAAUGAAAUGUUGGGGAUCCUUGUACAGGUAGUAGAGCUGCCCAUUAUUGAAGAGAUAAAGUCAUCUAAAGCAAUCAGCCUAGAGGUUGACGAAACAACAGAUGUUUCCACAAGUCGCCAGCUGGAUAUACAUGUUAGCAGGAACACUGGCUUGUCCAGGUUGGAAAGGAUAUGCUUCAUUGGGGGCCGACUUAAAAGAGUAUUUCUGAUCAGCUACAUCUAUCUGUAGUCUGCUGGAGAAGAUGAAAUCCAGGCCCAAGACUAUAAAGUAGGCCAAGGCUUUAGAGGUGAGAAUAACGACAUGCAUAGGGAAAACUUUGUUGUGAAGGGUGAUCUGUACAUUUGUCCAGCCUACAGGUACUUCUGCUUCACCAUUGGCCAGGUAGAGUGGACCAAGGGUCCAUGGAUAGAGGCUGUCAUGUGGUUUAAGCUCCUUCCAUAAGCUCUCAUGGAGAAGAGUGUAGCUUGCUUCCGUAUCUAUGAUGGCCUUUCCUGUCCAGGAUUCAAUAGUAAUGGGUACGACUAACUGUUGUGGCAGGAAGACACACUGGUUGGAAGCAGUGGGAGUGAACGUUUCAAACUUGUGGGUGGAUGCUGACCAGAAGGAUGCAUAGACUGAAGGGUGGAAUAGAGCGGACAGUUUCCAGGCGGGUGUAGUCCCUUACAUCUCCAACACUGGACUGGAGGUUUUUCAGCAGGUCGAUUAGAGCUGAAGGCCCAAUUUCACCAACUCAUCCACUGUGCUUACCCGACUACGGAGUUGACUUGCGAGCUCAUCUACAUAGUCUUCGGAAAGGAAAGCUGAAAGGAAAGCAGCUUCAAAUUCACUCCAGGAGGUAAUAGAAGUUCGAGCAACCUCCCACCAAUCACGAGCAGUGCCAUAAAGAACAGUGCGGAAGGUGGCCAGAAUAUCAAUGUCAUCUAAGGGGUGCAAGGCCAAGAAAUCCUGACAGCGUGUUAAGUAUAACAGUGGAUCAGAAUCAUCAGAUGAUCUUCCAAAGGUUGGAAAAGUUAGCUUUAAAUGGUCACUCUUAACAGCAGGUGACUGGUGCACUAGAGAUGGAGACACUGAUGGUGAAAAUGAAGAUGGAGCAGUUGGUGGAGGUACUGAUUCACCAGUUAGCUGAUCAGCCACUUCUUUUUUGGAUGAUUUGAAAUAAUUACCCAUUUCCAGUUGCAGGUCUUUGAAGUGGUUGCUCAAAGCAUUCAGUUGAGUCUUUAAUCCCUUUGGACAACUGUUGACAGUCCUUUUGAGAGCUGUCCUGUGCUGCUCGAAUGUCCUUCUGCAACUCAAGUUGAGCUUGUUCAAUCAUAAAACGAACUUCUGAAAUUAACUCCCUCGGGUCGGCGGUCACGCCGGCGUGACCACCGUGUUUUUUUUCUAACCAGUGUGAAAGAGACUCAAAAUACUCC
Long non-coding RNA from Megalobrama amblycephala (Wuchang bream), 2184 nucleotides. RefSeq lists it as uncharacterized. Lineage: Eukaryota; Metazoa; Chordata; Actinopteri; Cypriniformes; Xenocyprididae. The record is from RefSeq and is a predicted model, not a curated record. The transcript has 7 exons.